CAAAAGGUAAGGGUUUAAAAAAUAGAAAUAGCUGUGUAUUAUACUAUCACAAUAGUGGGGAGUGUAUUAGUUAGUGGGGAAAUUGAGAAGGAACCAGAGUUGCCAGGUACUUGGGGAAUAAAUAUAAGGUAGCACCACUGCUUCCUUCCCUUCCCCCAAGCAGAGCUAUUAACUAUGGAGUCAGUUCUGACUAGAGCUGAAAGGGUUCUGGCCUCCAAAUCUUUCAAGACAACAACCAUAUCCCAGCCCCAACUAUUCUCUUUUUCAGGCUAAGCCUUAUUUUCCUAAAUCAAUACUCAUAAGUGGACCUCCUGCUUGGCAUCUUUAAAUACAAAUCAGUUUAUCAAUGACCUUCUCAAAAAUAACACCCAGGACUGGACUCAAUACUCCAGGUGUCAUAUGCUGAGGGCAGAGAACAGCAGGACUUUCAUUUCUCUUCUGAUCACCAAACCUUCCAUCUUUUAGCUUGAGAAAAACUUUCUCAGAAGUAAAAUUACAUUCUUGAUGGCUAUAAGAGUUAUAUUAAUCACAAUACCUUCAGCCUUUUUCUUAUGAGUAAACCCUUCCUUUGAA
Molecule: long non-coding RNA, 573 nt
Organism: Monodelphis domestica (gray short-tailed opossum)
Lineage: Eukaryota; Metazoa; Chordata; Mammalia; Didelphimorphia; Didelphidae
Source: RefSeq, a predicted model, not a curated record